Molecule: small nucleolar RNA, 87 nt
Filed under: Chlorocebus sabaeus (green monkey)
Lineage: Eukaryota; Metazoa; Chordata; Mammalia; Primates; Cercopithecidae
Description: Small nucleolar RNA U13
Rfam family: Small nucleolar RNA U13
Source: Rfam by way of RNAcentral
GCCCUUUUGUAGUUCAUAAGCAUAAUGAUUGGGUUUUUGCACAUAUGCCAAACCUUGUUAAGAUGGUGGCAUUUUACCCAUAAGACA